GACGAACGCUGGCGGCGUGCUUAACACAUGCAAGUCGAACGGAAAGGCCCCUUUGGGGGUACUCGAGUGGCGAACGGGUGAGUAACACGUGAGUAACCUGCCCUUGACUUCGGGAUAACUUCAGGAAACUGGGGCUAAUACCGGAUAGGAAUCCUUGCUGCAUGGUGGGGGUUGGAAAGCUUCGGCGGUUUUGGAUGGACUCGCGGCUUAUCAGCUUGUUGGUGGGGUAGUGGCUUACCAAGGCUUUGACGGGUAGCAGGCCUGAGAGGGCGACCGGCCACAUUGGGACUGAGAUACGGCCCAGACUCCUACGGGAGGCAGCAGUGGGGAAUAUUGCACAAUGGGCGGAAGCCUGAUGCAGCAACGCCGCGUGCGGGAUGACGGCCUUCGGGUUGUAAACCGCUUUCAGCAGGGGCGAAGCUUGUGGUGACGGUACCUGCAGAAGAAGCACCGGCUAACUACGUG
This 465-nucleotide ribosomal RNA is filed under the name uncultured bacterium. RNAcentral describes it as "partial 16S ribosomal RNA". It matches the Rfam family "Bacterial small subunit ribosomal RNA", at positions 28 to 507 of the family's 1533-position model. The record is from RNAcentral.